Molecule: ribosomal RNA, 298 nt
Filed under: uncultured bacterium
Lineage: Bacteria
Description: partial 16S ribosomal RNA
Rfam family: Bacterial small subunit ribosomal RNA
Source: RNAcentral
UGACCUACGGGGGGCAGCAGCCGCGGUAAUACGUAGGUGGCAAGCGUUGUCCGGAUUUAUUGGGCGUAAAGCGAGUGCAGGCGGUUCAAUAAGUCUGAUGUGCAAGCCUUCGGCUCAACCGGAGAAUUGCAUCAGAAACUGUUGAACUUGAGUGCAGAAGAGGAGAGUGGAACUCCAUGUGUAGCGGUGGAAUGCGUAGAUAUAUGGAAGAACACCAGUGGCGAAGGCGGCUCUCUGGUCUGCAACUGACGCUGAGGCUCGAAAGCAUGGGUAGCGAACAUGAUUAGAUACCCCAGUA